This is a long non-coding RNA of Canis lupus familiaris (dog), 3632 nucleotides long. RefSeq lists it as uncharacterized. NCBI's taxonomy places the organism in Eukaryota, Metazoa, Chordata, Mammalia, Carnivora, Canidae. The record is from RefSeq and is a predicted model, not a curated record. The transcript has 3 exons.
CAAGGCCAAAGCCCAGAGAGUGGGGGGGAGGGGCAGGCAAGAGUUACUACCCCUUAAGGCAGCCUUGUGCCCUCACCCCUUGUGAGGAUUCCAGGAGCAGUUGUCCUUCAUUUAUGAUACUGAUGAUGAUGACAGCUGCUACCUACUAAGGAUUACCAUAUAUCAUCCAUUUAAUAUAUACCUAUUUUCUGAAAUAAGGGUGCAUCUUACAAUUAUUGGGGUUUCAGGUUCAACAAAAUAAGGUUUGUGCCAGGUUAGUGUGAUUUAUUGCAUUUAAUUUCUCAUUACAUCUCACAGCCCAGUGAGGUCAGUAUUACUGUCCUGUCUUACAGAUGAAGGAAGUGAAGCUCAGAAAUGUUAAGUAACUUGCUCAAAUUCACAUGGCCAGGAAGUGGCAGGCCCAAAUUCAGACCUGGGUCUCUCGAACUCAGAGCCCAUGCCCUUAGCUACCACGCUAUGCCAGUUUCCAUCCAUUUGGACAAUUCAGCCUUAUCCUGGGUUGGAAAUCCCCAUGACAUUGAUUGAAGUCAGGGUCUUCUAUCCUGGAUGACCUCAGGAAAGUCAUUUAGCUUCCCUAAUACUGCAUUAUUAUGAGUAUGAAAUAUAUAUAAAUAAAACUUACAUUAGUUGAAAAAAGAAUAAAAUGAACACUCAUGAACUUGUGACCCAGCUUAAAUAAUAAAACUUUAGUUUCUUAUCUGUAUAAUGGAAUUUUAGACUGGAGCCUGUUUAUCCAAAGGGAACCUCUCUAAUUCCUGGAAUUAAAGGACAGUGAUAGCUCUGGUGUUGACUUUUUUCCCCACAUCCAGAAUACCUCUUCAGAGAGAGCUAAUUGUCAGCAAGGCUUCUUCUCUCUCUCUCUCUCACUCUCUCUGCUGACACAUGGUACCAGUCAGCCACAAAACUUGCCCAGCAGGUGAGCCCAGGCCUGCUGGUGCAGUGAGAGACUGGUUUGCUACCCUAGAAGGGAAACUGGCCUUACCCCACCCAUAUCCUGCUCCCUGAUAGAAACGGUGGGGUUUCCAGUUUCCAAAACAAUGCUCCCCUUCUGGCUCUGAUUCAGUGAGGUCAUCCAUUGAGCUCCUACCUCUCUUUAUGAGACACUGAGGAGGGAGGGGCAAGAGCUGCAGUCUUUAUGAUGAAGCAUGAAGCAGUAUGGGACAGACUUGGUGCUGGAGGAGUUCAGAGAAAGAAGGAACCUCCGGGCAUCUGCAGUUGUUUCACCGAGGAGACAGGCGUUGUAGAGGAGAGGUGGAGAGUUUGGGGCAGCUCUGUGCUAAGCACUGGAUAUGUAUGCCACUCAGUCUUCACAGAAGCCUAAGAGAUCUGGAGUUCCAAUUGAACAGAACAAAAUGAGCUAAGUGACAGCACUGUGAGGUUAGUAAUCACCUGAAAACUCCCCUUUCUUUAAAAAAAAAAGAAAAAAAAAAAACCAGUAAAACUCCAUCAUGAAAGCUUAAAUUGUUUUGGCACAGAUCAGUUCUCUGCCAUGUGCAUAAUGGAGGUCUUAGUACUCUUGUUGUGUGACAGGAAAGGAUGGUGGGAGGAGGCACAUGGCAUAGAAAGCCUCAAUUCUUAUCUCUGCCACUUGAGGCCUUCAUUUCAUCAUCUGUAAAUUGGGACUGUUAAUACCCACCUCAGAGGGUGGAUGUGAAGCACUCCAAAACUGAAAGCUGAUACUGUUUUCCACCCCUGGAAGGCAUUUAAAGCCUGAAAAAGAGUUUCAAAUCCCUGGAGGGCAGCCUGAGGUUAGGGAAAGCCAUCAUGGCCACAGCUCUGGGAUGAGGAAUCAGCCAGGAUUCCGGCACCUAACCCAGAGGAGCCCUGCACUGACAGAUAAUCAGGUGCCACCAAGUGUCCCAAAGGCAUAGGAGACUUAGGUGUGGAGUCUGAAGAACUGGGUCUUGGUUACCAGUCUGCCCUGGAGGCCUUGGGACCACAUGCAACAUUACUUACCUCUGAGUCAGUGCCUUUAACAGCCCCUUUUGUUAAAUUCCCACUAUGUGUACAUGUUACAUGCACCACACAUUGAUACCUCUAACCUUAACACUGUUGUAUCUCAGAACUGCAGGCCCAGGCCUACAAGGAAUCACCCAGGUUCCUAUUUAUAAGGCAGAAUUCUGGGCCACCACCUAGACCUGCAGAAUCAAAUGAGGGGGGUGGGGAGGCAGGCAUCUGCAUUAUCUCCUCCUGUGGUUCUCUGCAAAGAGGGUGGUUUUAUCCUUAUUUUAUAAAUAGACUGAAGCCCAAAAUAACUUACCCAAGACUGCACAAUAGAUAAAAAGUAGGGAUUCCACCCAGGUCUGCAUGACUCCAGAGAUUUUGAUCUUAAGAGGAUGCUUGUGGCUGGCCAGGUGGUUAGGAAGGAGAACAGUACAAGACCCCUUAUGACAAAGGUAGGGGCAGGGCUUGGGGGGUAGUUGUCAGAGCCUGGGUGCCUGCUGAGUAGCAAGCUGAAGAAGCAGCAAGGGAUAUGUUUACAGGUCAUGCCAGUGGGAGAUCAGGGACCUACUUUUUCUCUUUUUUUUUUUGAGAAAGAGAGAGAGUGCAGUAGCGCAGGUGGGAGGAAGGCAGAGGGAGAAGCAGUCUCCCUACUUCUAGGGAGUAGGGAGCCUGCUGCGGGGCUCAAUCCCAGGACCCCUGGAAUGUGACUCGAGCUGAAGGCAGACGCUUAAUCAACUGAGCCACCCAGGCGCCCCAGGGACCUACUCUUUUUAAAGGUGCUUUUAAUAGAUAAGAAAAAAAUACAAAGUAGUAUGUGUUCAUUUUAGGGGGGAAAAACCUUUUAGAUUUAGACGCAUCGAAAUAUGUUCAUUUUAGGGGGAGAAAAAAAAAACAGGAAAAUUACUCCCUGACCUCAUUACCUAGAGGUAACUUUUGUUAGUAUUUUUGUGGCUAUGUUACGCACCUUUUCUCUAUGUGUAUAAGGAUCUGUGAGCGUAUUUUUUAAUGGAAUCACAUUGCUAAUACACUUUUUUUUGCAUAUACUUUUUAAAAAAACUAUAUUUAUAGUUUUCUUAGUAAUAGCUUUCACAUGUACAUUUUUUUUUAAUGCUGCCUAUACCAAAUAUGAGUGUUUAGAGCAGUGAUUGCUAAACUUAGCAGGCAUUAGAAUCACCUAGAGCAGGGAUUAGUAGACUUUUUCUAUAUAGGGCCAGAUCACAAAUACUUUAGUCUGUUGGAACUACUCAGCUCUGCUGUCGUUGCAGGAAAGCAGCAUGGGCAAUAUGUAAACAAAUGGCAAUGGCUGUGCUCCAAAAUGUAAUUUCCCAAAACAGGCAGUAAGCUGGAUUUGGUCCACACACCAUAGUUUGCCAACCCUAGUUUAGAAAAAGGGUCCAUGAAUAUUUUAUUGAGCCCAGACUAUACUCGAAGUAGUUGGCAGACAUAAGAAAGGAAAACAAAGAUCCCUGCCCUCAGGGAGCUCACAUUCCAGUUCUUCUAUGAGUAGACAAUAAGCACACUAAGUCUUAUGAUGUGACAUAUUUGAAAAUUGAUAAAUAGAAUGGAAAAAAAGAACAAGGAGAGCAGAGUGAGGGGAGUGGGUUGUAGUUUAUUUAUUUAAUAUUUUAUUUAUUUAUUAAUGAGAGACACAGAGGGGGGUGGGCAGAGACACAGGCAGAGGGAGAAGC